This 121-nucleotide ribosomal RNA is filed under the name Salvelinus fontinalis (brook trout). Its description in RNAcentral is "partial 16S ribosomal RNA". The record is from RNAcentral. Lineage: Eukaryota; Metazoa; Chordata; Actinopteri; Salmoniformes; Salmonidae.
AUAAGACGAGAAGACCCUAUGGAGCUUUAGACACCAGGCAGAUCACGUCAAGUAACCUUAAAUUAAUAAGUGGAAACGCAGUGACCCCUAGCCCAUAUGUCUUUGGUUGGGGCGACCGCGG